RNAcentral lists this unclassified non-coding RNA (337 nucleotides) under soil metagenome. Its description in RNAcentral is "partial contains 5.8S ribosomal RNA, internal transcribed spacer 2, and large subunit ribosomal RNA". The stretch from base 1 to 120 matches the Rfam family "5.8S ribosomal RNA", at positions 35 to 154 of the family's 154-position model. The record is from RNAcentral.
GAUGAAGAACGCAGCGAAAUGCGAUAAGUAGUGUGAAUUGCAGAAUUCAGUGAAUCAUCGAAUCUUUGAACGCACAUUGCGCCCCUUGGUAUUCCAUGGGGCAUGCCUGUUCGAGCGUCAUUUGUACCUUCAAGCUCUGCUUGGUGUUGGGUGUUUGUCUCGCCUCUGCGUGUAGACUCGCCUCAAAACAAUUGGCAGCCGGCGUGUUGAUUUCGGAGCGCAGUACAUCUCGCGCUUUGCACUCAUAACGACGACGUCCAAAAGUACAUUUUUACACUCUUGACCUCGGAUCAGGUAGGGAUACCCGCUGAACUUAAGCAUAUCAAUAAGCGGAGGA